Phascolarctos cinereus (koala) is the source of this 1044-nucleotide long non-coding RNA. The record is from Ensembl. Lineage: Eukaryota; Metazoa; Chordata; Mammalia; Diprotodontia; Phascolarctidae.
ACCCUUUUGAAAGGAUUUUCAUUUUAUCAUCUCUGCCCCUUCAACAGAAGGAAGAGAACAUUCAUAUGCUAGUCACAGGAUCAAACAUAUGGCGACUUUUGGAGAUACUUGUUUUCCAGCUGUUAUUGCUCUCUGUGGAGUCCAGAAUGGACACAAGUGGAUAUGAAAAAUUCCACAAAUUGUAUCUGAAAUGCCAGUCAAGAGCUAAUGUUGGAUUCUGCUUUGGUGAAAGUCCAGCUUUGGAGAGGAUUGUUUGCCAUUAACUUCACAGAGAGUCUGUCUUGUGGAUGUGUAUAUUUGGAAAGUGGUAUUCACAUAAGGACUGAUUCAGAAGUCAGAUGAAGCCGGCCAUCAUUGGAUAGAUUAUCAACAUAACUUUGAGAUGCCUUUCAAGAGCACUCCUGAAAACAUGAUGCCAAGGAAUCAUGGAAGAAUCACAUAGCUUCACAGAAUUUCUGAGCGAGAAGGGAGCUUAGGAGCCAUCUAGCCUAAUUCCUUCUGAAACUGGUAACUGGUUAUCCAAAUUCUCAAUUUCAUCUAGUGAUUCUGAUCUGUUCCACACAGGUUAGUUCUGAUAGGGCCUUGUAUAAAUCUCUAAUUAUUGCUUCUAGGUUAGUCAUAUUUUAAUACUGUUGGUUCUGGCCAUCGUAUGACCUAUGGAGCAAGCAUCCCUUCCCUAAGAGAACAUGCCCUGGCCAGGUAGUGCAAAAGAACCCAACCUAUGGUGAGUUGGUUUGCUAGCAUCUUCCACUUUGCCUCUUCCCAUCUAAAGACAUAAUGACUUUUUAGCUAUGGAAGCUUCUUCUCCCUGCAAAGAAUACCAGUGCUUUCCUAGGUGGGCAAUAAUUCUUCUGGUAUCUCUUAAAUGAUGAACUACUAAUCUUCUAACCCUCCCCCUCCCCCUGCCAAGUUCUUGUCUCUACUGUGCAAAAGGGAAAAAUGAAAGGGAGCCAAAAUGUUAAACCUCCCCAAAGCAUACACCGAAUACUUUGGAAACAAUUCCUUUUAAAUAAAAUGCAUAUGUGGUUCCCUAUUUAGUAUGCA